AUACGUAGGGGACGAGCGUUGUCCGGAAUUACUGGGCGUAAAGGGCGCGCAGGCGGAUCUUUAAGUCAGCUGUAAAAGGCAUGAGCUCAACUCAUGUAUGCGGUUGAAACUGGGUAUCUAGAGUGCUGGAGAGGUAGGCGGAAUUCCCGGGGUAGCGGUGAAAUGCGUAGAUAUCGGGAAGAACACCAGUGGCGAAGGCGGCUUACUGGCCAGCAACUGACGCUGAGGCGCGAAAGCCAGGGGAGCGAACGGGAUUAGAUACCCCGGUAGUCCUGGCCGUAAACGAUGAAUGCUAGGUGUGGGUGUCGAGAGGCAUCCGUGCCGGAGUUAACGCGAUAAGCAUUCCGCCUGGGGAGUACGAUCGCAAGAUUGAAACUCAAAUGAAUUGGCGGG
RNAcentral lists this ribosomal RNA (393 nucleotides) under uncultured bacterium. RNAcentral describes it as "partial 16S ribosomal RNA". It matches the Rfam family "Bacterial small subunit ribosomal RNA", at positions 523 to 917 of the family's 1533-position model. The record is from RNAcentral.